GAGGGUGUGGCUCAGUGGUAGAGCGCAUGCUUAGCAUGCCCGAGGCCCUGAGUUCAACCCCCAGUACUUCCA
RNAcentral lists this transfer RNA (72 nucleotides) under Camelus bactrianus (Bactrian camel). It matches the Rfam family "tRNA". Rfam says of the family: Transfer RNA (tRNA) molecules are approximately 80 nucleotides in length. Lineage: Eukaryota; Metazoa; Chordata; Mammalia; Artiodactyla; Camelidae. RNAcentral also lists the same sequence under 2 other names. The record is from Rfam by way of RNAcentral.